This 239-nucleotide ribosomal RNA is filed under the name Triticum aestivum (bread wheat). RNAcentral describes it as "partial small subunit ribosomal RNA". Lineage: Eukaryota; Viridiplantae; Streptophyta; Magnoliopsida; Poales; Poaceae. The record is from RNAcentral.
AGCCUCGCGCCCUCGCCUCUCCUUCCUCCUUCCUCGCGUUUCUCUUUCGGUCUCUCAUGCAUGGCUCUCUGUCUCUUCCAACGCAGGACGCCCGCCAUGGACAGCGUCUCCCCAGCAGCUCGCGUUGCCGUCCUCCGUCGCUUGCUCCGCCCCAAGUCUUCGUCACCUCCAUGCCGAGCAGCAGCUCGCCGGAGCACGAGCGCCACCCGGUCCGCCUCCCUCUGCCCGUCCCUCUCCUU